AACGAACGCUGGCGGCGCGCCUAAUACAUGCAAGUCGAACGAGAAGCUGUAGCAAUACAGUUGUACAGUGGCGAACGGGUGAGGAAUACAUGGGUGACCUACCCUCGAGUGGGAGUAACCAGCCGAAAGGUUGGCUAAUACCGCGUACGCUUCCCAGUCUACGGGUUGGGAAGGAAAGACGAUGCCGUGGGUAGUCGCGCUCAAGGUUGGGCUCAUGUCCUAUCAGCUUGNGGUUGGGGAACGGCGUCACCAAGGCAACGACGGGUAGCUGGUCUGAGAGGACGAUCAGCCACACUGGCACUGCGACACGGGCCAGACUCCUACGGGAGGCAGCAGUAAGGAAUAUUGCGCAAUGGGCGAAAAGCCUGACGCAGCGACGCCGCGUGGGGGAGUGAAGGUCUUCGG
Molecule: ribosomal RNA, 405 nt
Filed under: uncultured bacterium
Lineage: Bacteria
Description: bacterial SSU rRNA
Rfam family: Bacterial small subunit ribosomal RNA
Source: RNAcentral